GUGAGGAAUAUUGCGCAAUGGAGGCAACUCUGACGCAGCCAUGCCGCGUGCAGGAAGAAGGCGCUACGCGUUGUAAACUGCUUUUAACCGGGAAGAAACCCCAGGACGUGUCCUGGGUUGACGGUACCGGAGGAAUAAGCACCGGCUAACUUCGUGCCAGCAGCCGCGGUAAUACGAAGGGUGCAAGCGUUAUCCGGAUUCAUUGGGUUUAAAGGGUGCGUAGGCGGAGCGGUAAGUCAGUUGUGAAAUCCUGCAGCUUAACUGUAGACUUGCCAUUGAUACUGGCGCUCUUGAGUGCGCUUGAAGUGGGCGGAAUGUGCCGUGUAUCUGUGAAAUGCUUAGAUAUGGCACAGAACACCAAUUGCGAAGGCAGCUCACUAAGGCGAUACUGACGCUGAGGCACGAAAGCGUGGGGAUCGAACAGGAUUAGAAACCCGGGUAGUCC
Molecule: ribosomal RNA, 445 nt
Filed under: uncultured bacterium
Lineage: Bacteria
Description: partial 16S ribosomal RNA
Rfam family: Bacterial small subunit ribosomal RNA
Source: RNAcentral